UUAGAGUUUGAUCCUGGCUCAGGAUGAACGCCCCUGGCAGGCUUAACACAUGCAAGUCGAGGGGCAGCGAGAGUGAUAGCAAUAUUACUUGUCGGCGACCGGCGCACGGGUGCGUAACGCGUAUGCAACCUACCAUCAACAGGGGGAUAACACUGAGAAAUCGGUACUAAUACCCCAUAAUAUCUCAUGCGGCAUCGCAUGGGGUUGAAAACUCCGGUGGUUGAUGAUGGGCAUGCGUUGUAUUAGCUGGUUGGUGAGGUAACGGCUCACCAAGGCGACGAUACAUAGGGGGACUGAGAGGUUAACCCCCCACAUUGGUACUGAGACACGGACCAAACUCCUACGGGAGGCAGCAGUGAGGAAUAUUGGUCAAUGGACGCAAGUCUGAACCAGCCAUGCCGCGUGCAGGAUGACGGCUCUAUGAGUUGUAAACUGCUUUUGUACGAGGGUAAACCCCGAUACGUGUAUCGGGUUGAAAGUAUCGUACGAAUAAGGAUCGGCUAACUCCGUGCCAGCAGCCGCGGUAAUACGGAGGAUCCGAGCGUUAUCCGGAUUUAUUGGGUUUAAAGGGUGCGUAGGCGGUUUGAUAAGUUAGAGGUGAAAUGUCGGGGCUCAACCCCGAAACUGCCUCUAAUACUGUUGGACUAGAGAAUAGUUGCGGUAGGCGGAAUGUAUGGUGUAGCGGUGAAAUGCUUAGAGAUCAUACAGAACACCGAUUGCGAAGGCAGCUUACCAAACUAUAUCUGACGUUGAGGCACGAAAGCGUGGGUAGCAAACAGGAUUAGAUACCCUGGUAGUCCACGCAGUAAACGAUGAUAACUCGUUGUCGGCGAUACACAGUCGGUGACUAAGCGAAAGCGAUAAGUUAUCCACCUGGGGAGUACGUUCGCAAGAAUGAAACUCAAAGGAAUUGACGGGGGCCCGCACAAGCGGAGGAACAUGUGGUUUAAUUCGAUGAUACGCGAGGAACCUUACCCGGGCUUGAAAGUUAGCGACGACGCUUGAAAGAGCGUUUCCCUUCGGGGCGCGAAACUAGGUGCUGCAUGGUUGUCGUCAGCUCGUGCCGUGAGGUGUCGGGUUAAGUCCCAUAACGAGCGCAACCCCUACUGUUAGUUGCCAUCAGGUGAUGCUGGGCACUCUAGCGGGACUGCCGGUGUAAGCCGAGAGGAAGGUGGGGAUGACGUCAAAUCAGCACGGCUCUUACGUCCGGGGCCACACACGUGUUACAAUGGUAGGUACAGAGGGCAGCUACCCUGCGAAGGGGUGCGAAUCUCGAAAGCCUAUCUCAGUUCGGAUUGGAGGCUGAAACCCGCCUCCAUGAAGUUGGAUUCGCUAGUAAUCGCGCAUCAGCCAUGGCGCGGUGAAUACGUUCCCGGGCCUUGCACUCACCGCCCGUCA
Molecule: ribosomal RNA, 1398 nt
Filed under: uncultured bacterium
Lineage: Bacteria
Description: 16S ribosomal RNA
Rfam family: Bacterial small subunit ribosomal RNA
Source: RNAcentral